RNAcentral lists this transfer RNA (66 nucleotides) under Anniella pulchra. RNAcentral describes it as "tRNA-Cys". Lineage: Eukaryota; Metazoa; Chordata; Lepidosauria; Squamata; Anniellidae. The record is from RNAcentral.
AGAAGCCCGGGAAAUCUUCGAUUUCGACUCCAAGUUUGCAACUUGGCGUGUUAACACCACCAGACU